Molecule: long non-coding RNA, 2704 nt
Organism: Capsicum annuum
Lineage: Eukaryota; Viridiplantae; Streptophyta; Magnoliopsida; Solanales; Solanaceae
Exons: 2
Source: RefSeq, a predicted model, not a curated record
CUUAACACUACUGCCUCCUCACUUCAAUAUUCAUUUUGUCCCUCUUCUCUUUGGAUCAUCAACAUUGUGCCUGAGGGUACUCUAUAUUGCUUAGCAUCAGCUUUCAAGAGUGACAUUCUUUUUAAGGUAUGACUUAAACCUUGGAAGUUCUAAGAUGAUCAUACGAGUCGUAAGAUGUGACUCGUAUCCUAAUCAGUGAAGGAUUCAAGAAUCAAGCAUCAUAUUUGUAUAGCCUUAUAAGUUACUUGGACAAAUAUUAAGUCCUCAAAUUGCUCCUAGCUCAUGAACAAGUUGAAACAUCUCUUAGCUAUUAAGUUUCUAUAAGGAAUAUAACUGUAGUCAUCUUGAUGCGAGCAUAACAUUUGUUAUAUGAAUAAUUCAUGAGAUAAAAUACCCAACAACGUUUGAAUUAUCUUUCCAAUGAUAUCAAUUUUUCUUCAAUAGGAUAUCGAAUGAAAAGUUAUGGCCAAAUUACUAAAGCACUAUCAAAGCUAUAAGUGACACGACUCACUGAUACAACUCGUAAGCAGACCGUAUAAGUUAUCAGGAGGAGUCAUACCCAAAAUGAUAGGGGUUAAAAUUUUGGUUCUUGGGUAUGACUCAAGGUACGACCCGUACCCAAAACAUAUGAGUCAUACCCAAACUCGUCGGUAUAGCUUCCAAAUGACUUCCAUAAGGUUUCUAAGGGUUUUUUUUUGGGUCUUUUCUCCUCUUUAAACUCCAAACCUAUGACUUUAAAACAUACAAAUGAGUUAUUUCCUCACCUUUUUCUUAAAUCAACAACAUAUUCUCUCCUCCUAUCUUCAAGAACAUCAAUAUUAGGGUUCCUAACCUAAAAUUCAUCGUUCAAGUCCCAAGAUUCAAACUUUCGUUACAAGUCAAGAAAAUCAGGUAUGUAGGUAUUCAUUAGUGGGUCCCUUUCAUCCAUAGAGACCAAAAACCCUAUUUUUAUUUAAAAGUAUAAAUCUAUCCUUCUCUAUGAAAUCAUUUGUGAAUCUUAUUAAAUUAGUCCAUGAAUUUCUUGCUAAAUUAAUUACAAGCCAUGUCUAUAAGUGUUUCCAAGAGAAUUAAGCUUUUUUACGUUGAGUUAAAAUUUUCCAUAUCAUAUUCCAUUGAUUUCAUGUUAAAUUCCCACACUAUGAAUUUAGCCAUGUAAUCAUGUUAUUUUUCUCAUGUUUAACACAUUCCCAUAUUUCAAUUCAUGAAAUUCAUCAGAUUAAUGAAGCUCAUGUUUAGGCCCUAGAACUAUGAAGUUAUAUCUUUGUUUUAUCAUUAUUAUCGUAUUUAGAAAUCAUUCAGUGAUGGUGGGUUAUGAACACUCGAUACCUAUGUGUUUUACAUGUUUUUAUUUUCAAGUUACAAGUCAGUUAGACCAUGUUUUAUUAUUUCAUUCAGACUACCAUGUUUAUGUUGAGCAUCUAUUAUUACAACACCACAACAUGUUAGACAUAUAAUAAUACCAGUGUCAUUUAGUUGGGAGUAGGAUUUAGUAUCGAGCGAACCCAGGGAUGGCGCUCACGUACCACUAGAAGGUGUGACCUUUAGUAGCAGACCGUAAUUUGUAGAACUACGUACCCAAUAUAGGUAUGAGAGGUCUUCAUGCCAGUAGAGAGUGAAACACUCUUUUAGGGGAACCUGUCAGUAGUGGGUGACUCCCGUGUCCUUUAGGACACCAGUUUGGUGGAUCCACACAGUUAUGUAUUUGUACACGUGGAAAGGUACUGACAUCCUUCCAACUGAGUUACAAGUUCAACCCCGAUUAGCUUAGAUUGGGUCAUGUCGCUUACAUAAUAGCUUUCAUUCAGUACAUCAGUCUAUAUAAGUUUAGGUUUACUUGACCCAGUAAUUAGUUAUUUAGUUAUUUAAGAUCAUAUUAGUACAUGCUUUACUUGAUCUGGUAUUCUCAGUUUUAUGUGUUCAUGCAUCCAUAUUCAGUUACCAUAUGUAUUUCAGUUAAUCCUUACCUCACGUACUAGUACAUGCAAAGUACUAAUAACAUACUUUUCUUUUGCGCUAUUUUGUCUAAUAAAAUAGGUUUGGACACAAAGUUUCCCUACCAUCCAUAGACAGCUCAAUAGUUUCACCAUAGUGGCAGUGGAGAGUCCUCAUCCACCGAUGACAUGACAUGAUAUUUUAGUUAUUUUAUUAUUUCUUUAUGUUCAGUCAGUUGGAGUUCAUUGGGGGUUUGUCCCAUCAAAUCCUUACAUUUUAGAGGCUUCUAGACAGACAAUCUAGUUUUUAGUAUUUUUCAAAUAUUCUAGAAAUGUCAUUUUAUGUAUUUUAUUAUUUCAAACUGACAGUACCUUAUUAGUUUAUAUUCUGCACAUGUUAUAUUACUAUAAUUUUAUUCAAUGCUUAUAGCAAGUACCAGAUCAUGGUUUAUCUUGGGGUUAAAUGCAUCCUUAAGCACCGUGUCAUGACUAGGGGGUAGCCUUGGGUCGUGACAAAAAUAAUUCUCAGAGCCUAAGGUUUUAAAGUGUCCUAGGAUGUUUGAAAGCCGCAUUGAGAAGAGUCUUGUACAUGGGUUUGAAGCGCGCCACACUUAUCGACAAAAGGAUAAGAGAAGUUUUUAGGAAAGUUUUUCUUCUUACAGUAUUCAUGUCGUGCGAAAGACAUGAGAUCUAUUGAAUUCCAUUUUCUAACUUGGCCUUCAUUCCAUUUACAAAAAAUACCUCCCAGAAGAAAUAACGGAAGAAGGAACCAC